This 503-nucleotide ribosomal RNA is filed under the name Psychrobacter sp. EBKC38. RNAcentral describes it as "bacterial SSU rRNA". It matches the Rfam family "Bacterial small subunit ribosomal RNA", at positions 382 to 877 of the family's 1533-position model. The record is from RNAcentral. Lineage: Bacteria; Pseudomonadati; Pseudomonadota; Gammaproteobacteria; Moraxellales; Moraxellaceae.
CCUGAUCCAGCCAUGCCGCGUGUGUGAAGAAGGCCUUUUGGUUGUAAAGCACUUUAAGCAGUGAAGAAGACCAUAUGGUUAAUACCCAUAUGCGAUGACAUUAGCUGCAGAAUAAGCACCGGCUAACUCUGUGCCAGCAGCCGCGGUAAUACAGAGGGUGCAAGCGUUAAUCGGAAUUACUGGGCGUAAAGCGAGCGUAGGUGGCUUGAUAAGUCAGAUGUGAAAUCCCCGGGCUUAACCUGGGAACUGCAUCUGAUACUGUUAAGCUAGAGUAGGUGAGAGGGAAGUAGAAUUCCAGGUGUAGCGGUGAAAUGCGUAGAGAUCUGGAGGAAUACCGAUGGCGAAGGCAGCUUCCUGGCAUCAUACUGACACUGAGGCUCGAAAGCGUGGGUAGCAAACAGGAUUAGAUACCCUGGUAGUCCACGCCGUAAACGAUGUCUACUAGUCGUUGGGUCCCUUGAGGACUUAGUGACGCAGCUAACGCAAUAAGUAGACCGCCUGGG